CAGCAGCCGCGGUAAUACGUAGGGUGCGAGCGAUGCCCGGAUUUAUUGGGCGUAAAGGGCGCGUAGGCGGUCACGCACGUCCGUUGUGAAAUCGCUCGGCUCAACUGGGCGGGGUCAGCGGAUACGGCGUGGCUGGAGCAAGCUAGGGGGCAAUGGAAUUCCCGGUGUAGUGGUGGAAUGCGUAGAUAUCGGGAGGAACACCAGUGGCGAAGGCGGUUGCCUGGAGCUUUGCUGACGCUGAUGCGCGAAAGCGUGGGGAGCGAUCCGGAUUAGAUACCCGGGUAGUCCACGCCGUAAACGAUGCGGACUAGGUGUCGGGGGUAUCGACCCCCUCGGCGCCGCAGCUAACGCAUUAAGUCCGCCGCCUGGGGACUACGGCCGCAAGGCUAAAACUCAAAGGAAUUGACGG
Molecule: ribosomal RNA, 409 nt
Filed under: uncultured bacterium
Lineage: Bacteria
Description: bacterial SSU rRNA
Rfam family: Bacterial small subunit ribosomal RNA
Source: RNAcentral